RNAcentral lists this transfer RNA (69 nucleotides) under Ictidomys tridecemlineatus (thirteen-lined ground squirrel). RNAcentral's name for it is "Spermophilus tridecemlineatus (thirteen-lined ground squirrel) tRNA". It matches the Rfam family "tRNA". From Rfam's summary of the family: Transfer RNA (tRNA) molecules are approximately 80 nucleotides in length. Their secondary structure includes four short double-helical elements and three loops (D, anti-codon, and T loops). The record is from Rfam by way of RNAcentral. Lineage: Eukaryota; Metazoa; Chordata; Mammalia; Rodentia; Sciuridae.
GGAGCUAUAACUCAGUGGUAGAGCACAUGCCUUGCAUGCAUGAGAUACUGGGUUCGAUCCUCAGCACCA